GAUUGUUAGAUACACGGGCUUGGCCCAUUUAAAUGAUAAUUCUGAAUAAAUCUCAAAGGUCCAUUAGUGUAAGAGGGGGUACACCAUCUAUUAGUCCCAUAUUGCUAAUAGACGAGGGUGUUGGGGGUUUUCCUCCCUAUAUAUAUGGACCACCUCCCUCAUGGAAUAGAUGCAAUAUAGACUACUAUACGGGAAGGCCCCAAGUUAGAGUAUCCCAAAGGUGGUCUGUACGAGUUAGGUUUUUG
This 245-nucleotide long non-coding RNA is filed under the name Setaria viridis. RNAcentral's name for it is "long non-coding RNA (SVIR_LNC009505)". Lineage: Eukaryota; Viridiplantae; Streptophyta; Magnoliopsida; Poales; Poaceae. The record is from RNAcentral.